UCCAGAGGGGGCAAGCGUUGUUCGGAAUUACUGGGCGUAAAGGGCGCGUAGGCGGUCUCGUAAGUCCGGUGUGAAAGCCCCGGGCUCAACCUGGGAAUUGCAUUCGAGACUGCAUUGCUGGAGUACGGAAGAGGAGGGCGGAAUUCCCGGUGUAGCGGUGAAAUGCGUAGAUAUCGGGAGGAACAUCAGUGGCGAAGGCGGCCCUCUGGUCCAGUACUGACACUCAAGUGCGAAAGCGUGGGGAGAAAACAGG
Molecule: ribosomal RNA, 253 nt
Filed under: uncultured bacterium
Lineage: Bacteria
Description: partial 16S ribosomal RNA
Rfam family: Bacterial small subunit ribosomal RNA
Source: RNAcentral